This 74-nucleotide transfer RNA is filed under the name Streptomyces vinaceus. RNAcentral's name for it is "tRNA-Ser". Lineage: Bacteria; Bacillati; Actinomycetota; Actinomycetes; Kitasatosporales; Streptomycetaceae. The record is from RNAcentral.
UGGCGGGUGUCGCGGGUGCGGCGGCGCUGCUGGUGCUGACGGUCACUCAGCGGAUCCUGGCCGCUCCCGCCCGC